RNAcentral lists this ribosomal RNA (254 nucleotides) under uncultured bacterium. RNAcentral's name for it is "partial 16S ribosomal RNA". It matches the Rfam family "Bacterial small subunit ribosomal RNA", at positions 524 to 776 of the family's 1533-position model. The record is from RNAcentral.
GACGGAGGGUGCUAGCGUUGUUCGGAAUCACUGGGCGUAAAGGGCGCGUAGGCGGCCCAUGCAGUCGGCUUGUGAAAGCCCGGGGCUCAACCCCGGAGGUGCGGCCGAUACACAUGGGCUGGAGGCCGGAAGAGGAGGGUGGAAUACCCAGUGUAGAGGUGAAAUUCGUAGAUAUUGGGUGGAACACCGGUGGCGAAAGCGGCUCUCUGGUCCGGACCUGACGCUGAGGCGCGAAAGCGUGGGGAGCAAACAGG